GAGGGUGGUCCAAAGACAACAAGAACUGCUAAUUCUCAAUCCCAUGGUUAAAUUCCAUGGCUCUCCUCG
RNAcentral lists this transfer RNA (69 nucleotides) under Phenacogrammus interruptus (Congo tetra). RNAcentral's name for it is "tRNA-Ser". The record is from RNAcentral. Lineage: Eukaryota; Metazoa; Chordata; Actinopteri; Characiformes; Alestidae.